GGGCGGAUGGUUUAGUGGUAUAAUGCCUUCUUAGCAUGAAAGCAAGUGCCAUGCUUGGAGGAGGUCCGGGGUUCGAUUCCCCGUCUGUCCA
Ophiocordyceps unilateralis is the source of this 91-nucleotide non-coding RNA. NCBI's taxonomy places the organism in Eukaryota, Fungi, Ascomycota, Sordariomycetes, Hypocreales, Ophiocordycipitaceae. The record is from Rfam.